Molecule: ribosomal RNA, 253 nt
Filed under: uncultured bacterium
Lineage: Bacteria
Description: partial 16S ribosomal RNA
Rfam family: Bacterial small subunit ribosomal RNA
Source: RNAcentral
UACGGGGGGUGCGAGCGUUGUCCGGAAUCACUGGGCGUAAAGGGCGCGUAGGUGGUUUGAUAAGGGUGUGGUGAAAGUCCGGGGCUCAACCCCGGAUCUGCCUUGCCGACUGUCAAACUCGAGGGCUGUAGAGGCAGACGGAAUUCCGGGUGUAGCGGUGGAAUGCGUAGAGAUCCGGAGGAAGACCGGUGGCGAAGGCGGUCUGCUGGGCAGUUUCUGACACUGAUGCGCGACAGCGUGGGGAGCAAACAGG